UUUCAGCAGACUCUGCAGGCUUGCCUGCCACUCUGCUAAAUGUCAGGCCAUAUAUCUCUUUUGGGGCAGUUCCCCUCUGAAGAAGCCAUACCAUCCCAAAAAACACAUAAGCAGGAAGGACCCAGAGGCACCCCAGUCUCGGCUGUAUUUAAAGUCUGAACUCAUGCUGUCAUCCUAACUUGCCUAGCAUACAAACUGAUUGGAGAAGACCGUGCUUAAGAUCACCAGACUAAAGCAAGAGACAAACUUCAGCAAUUCUUCUGUGUGUCUGCAAUCUCAAGGUCAGGCAAGGCUAUAGCCCACAUCCUCCAGCAACUAUUCUAUAACACUUUGCAAUGGCAUCAUUGAUCUCAAUGUGGCUACAUGAAACCCAGAUCCUGGACCAUAUCGUGCUUUAUUGAAAACUUUGAUUGCAGAGAUGUCAUCACAUCGGCAUUGAUGUAUGUGCUGCUGUCAUAAAUUAUUAUAAGCAGCCCCUAAGGCCAUAUCUGAACGAGGAGACCUGGAAAUAUAUCUGGAAUGUGCACCAGCGGUGGGAGUGCCUGCUCCAGCUGCCUCUGAGCCUCCUGCAGCUACAACACAUGCCAAGGCCUGCACCAGUAUCUACACCAGCCCUUUGAGGUGAACCAGUGGCCAUACACAACCACGCUGUCUUCAUUUGAACUUGCAGAACUAAGUGCAGGACCAGGGUUUCUCCUGGCUCUGCUCAUGCUGAGUAGUAACUUUCCUACUGCAGUCUACUGAAGAACCUGCUUAUUGAAGUCAAGAAAGCAGAAUCUGACCUUUGGCAGAUAGUUUUACCAUAUCCCAUGGAGUAAGUUACUAUCUAAAAUGCACAAUAAAACGCACAUUAAAUAAU
Strigops habroptila (Kakapo) is the source of this 859-nucleotide long non-coding RNA. RefSeq lists it as uncharacterized. Lineage: Eukaryota; Metazoa; Chordata; Aves; Psittaciformes; Psittacidae. The transcript has 3 exons. The record is from RefSeq and is a predicted model, not a curated record.